Molecule: unclassified non-coding RNA, 589 nt
Filed under: Bifidobacterium cuniculi
Lineage: Bacteria; Bacillati; Actinomycetota; Actinomycetes; Bifidobacteriales; Bifidobacteriaceae
Description: partial 16S-23S ribosomal RNA
Source: RNAcentral
CCUUUCUAUGGAGUUUUUUUCGUGCCGCUGGUCUGGCGGCGUUUGUUGGAUGCCCUUUGGUCAUGGUGCCGUUGGUGCCGUGGGGGUGUCCGUGCUGGCUGGAAAAGGAUCGGGAAACGGGUCAUGCGGUCGGUGGCUUCUUUGGUGGGGUUGCCUGGUCGUGUGGGUGGUGUGGUGCAUGCUGUUGGGUCCCCGGAUUGCCACCCGGUGCGGUUGUCGGCUUGGUGUUGCCUGGUCGGCUGGCUGUGUGGUGGUUGUCCUGCCCCUGGUCGGUUGGUUCGUGCUUGUGUGGUGCGGGUUGGUCGGCUUGGUGGUGUGGUGGUUUGAGAACUGGAGAGUGGACGCGAGCAUGAGAGCAUGUUCCGCUGGUUCCGGUGCCUGUUGGGUGUCGGGUGCGUGGUGGUGCGUGUUGUCGUGUGUUGCAUUUUUUGCAAUCGAGUUUUGAUUUUCCUUGCCAUGGCCUUUGUUGGGGUCGUGGUGGGGUUUGUUUGCUUGUUUUGUGAUCUGAUGAUUUUGUGUUAGUUGAUCUGCUUGUUUUUUGGUUGUUCGUCAGCGUUGGGCAGUGGCCCGCAUCCUGUUGGGGUGCGUG